Long non-coding RNA from Erinaceus europaeus (western European hedgehog), 151 nucleotides. RefSeq lists it as uncharacterized. The transcript has 2 exons. Lineage: Eukaryota; Metazoa; Chordata; Mammalia; Eulipotyphla; Erinaceidae. The record is from RefSeq and is a predicted model, not a curated record.
UGAUGUGUCAACCUUCUGACAGCACUUUCCUGCUCCAGGCAACUUUACCUUGCUUUUUAGUGCUGGAUGAACCAACAUCACUCUAUACUGAAGAACACCUUGACUGCAUCCAGAUUUUUGGCAACUAUUGAGUAAAAGUGCUGUAAACAUU